RNAcentral lists this unclassified non-coding RNA (110 nucleotides) under Pan paniscus (pygmy chimpanzee). RNAcentral describes it as "precursor microRNA mir-220". The record is from RNAcentral. Lineage: Eukaryota; Metazoa; Chordata; Mammalia; Primates; Hominidae. RNAcentral also lists the same sequence under 1 other name.
GACAGCAUGGCAUUGUAGGGCUCCACACCGUAUCUGACACUUUGGGCGAGGGCACCAUGCUGAAGGUGUUCAUGAUGCAGUCUGGGAACUCCUCACGGAUCUUACUGAUG